GCUCCACCAACCUGCAGCGGGUGUGUAACACAGCACACCGGCUAAGCCCUGGUAGCCCGGAACUCUUCUCUUGGAAAAAGUGCACUCGGCCAAAGUGGUCUCAAACCCCUGACAGCGCACUUGCAAGCAUUCUGUGGAGUUUAUCUGGAGAUCUUCAGAAUAAUGAAACCUUCCCCGAGUAUCAAGAGCACCUCUGGAAGCAGCAAAACGAAACGUGAUGUGCUUAUGUGGCAACGGCCAUGCUACCCGUCAUGUGGAAGGCCACUCAAUCCUCACACCCACCUUGUAAAGAUGAAGCCCGCCUUGUCUCCAUUUUUUCACAGGAGGAACCUAAAUCUAGGAGACGUUAAAUUCCCGGCCCAAGUGGUGAAGCCAGGAAUUGGAAGCUGCUCUGUUAUCUCACUGCAGAGUCUUAGAAAAAACAUAGCGAAAUGUUUCAACAGGCUCAGAAAAGUUCCUGGGGAGUUCCAUCUCCUCUCAAGCUACCCAGCCCACUCGGAAGCAACCACUUACCGGUUCCUGGUGCAGUUUUUAGGUCCAGCACUGUACAGGUGCUCAGUAUAUUUUCAGAUUUGCCCGGAAGCGGAAUUGCUGAAUCUAGGGAAUGAGCGUUGUAAUGCUGGAGGACAGAGCCUAGUUUUUCGCCGCAGAGGGCGCUCCAACUUGCACCCUCGUCCUCCAUAGACAGUGCGCCUGCGCAGUUCUCACACAGGGACCGCAGCCACCGUUCGACCCGUUAAGCUUCUUUUAUUGCUGUCAAUUUGAUAUUAAAACUCCCAUUGGCGUACACUUUCAUUUGCAUUUCCCCUUAUGAAUGUUGUUGAAAAUCUUUUAAUACGGCAUAAAUUUUAAGAGAAAUUUUUAUUUCUCCACGUACUAGCCAUAAUCUUUUUGGUGUAAUUAGAUCCCUUUUCUUUCACCUUUCUUUCUUUCUUUCUUUCUUUCUUUCUUUCUUUCUUUCUUUCUUUCUUUCUUUCUUUCUUUCUGUACUGGGCAUUGAAUCCAAGCACUUCACACUAAGCAAUAUCCGCAGCCCUUUAUUAAUUUUAUUUUAAGUUUUGAAACAGGGCUUCACUGAGACACAAAGUAGCCCAGUCUGGGCUGGAACUUGAGUCUUUCCUGCUUCAGCCUCCCAGAGCGAGGACUAUAGGUGAGCACUACCCUGUCUAGCUUUUUUUUUUAUUUUUAUUUUUUGGAAGAAGAUUUCAUACAAAUAUAUCAAGGAAAUCAGCAUUUUGUUUGGAAUAUGAGCUAUAAAAAACGUGUUGACAAAUGCCAAGCCUAGUCCGUAGAGCACAGAUACUUUUUAAACGCUUCCUCACGCAACGAAACUAUUUUCAAUAAAAAUCCUGAAACCAAAGGAAUAAGUAGAUGCAGGAAAUGAAAUAGUAAACGUUUUCUUUUAUUGAAAUUCAUAUGUGUAAUCAUACUGUAAACAUUUAAAAAGUAAAAUACAUAUUACAGUGCAAACAAGAAAAAAGAUUAAUAUUUUAAAUUACACUAACAAUGAAAAAGGGAAGUCAUACCUGUGUAUAGGUCUGUUACGGUGACGAAUCAUGAUAUUACAGCUUAACAAUAAUUAAAGACAUUAGAAGAAAAGCACAGCAACGUUUUUAUUUAAAGGCAUUAUUCCAAUUUGGGAAAAUAUUUGCCUUGUGAAUUAUAAUUUAGCUCUGCCAAAAUAAGGAUCGUACAUCUCGGUCUGCAGUUUUACCACUUUUACACUUUAAAAACAAACCCCCAGUGGUCAUUGGAAAGACAAAAUUGAGUAACUCAGCUUUCAUUUCUUCAUCUUUACAAUCGUUAGAGCAACAUUUAAACUUCUGCAUCUGCUACUCAAGCUCAGGAAAAUGGAAUAACUCGAGUUUGAAGACAGAGCCCACAGCCAGCUCGGAAAGCUCCAGUGCAUAAUGGGCCUGACAUCCCACUCCUACGGAGGCUGAACUUAGCGUGUGCUGCGUCCACGCCCACUCACAACACGAGGUCGGUGCGGGAUGCGUCAUUUGAGGAAGUGCUCGUGCUGCUUACGUUCCCACCCGCAGCAGCCGUUAACCGUUCUGUCCACUACACCAGCUGCUGACAGAGGGCUGCUUAAAUUUUAAAUUAAUUAAAAUUAAAUUAAAAGGAAAUUCUGUUUCCAGCCAAGUCAGAGAAAUAGGGACCAGAUGUACCCUCCAGCCUAAAACAAUCAACAAACAAACAAAAUAGGAGGCCUUGGUUUUCAAGACACAGGACCUCAGGCAAGGAGGGCAGCGGUCACCCAGGGCGGGAACUGCGGGCGCUGCUUUACUGCCCUGAGCGUUUACUGGUUGUGGCGCAGGGAGGAGGGGCGUGGGCUGAGCACAGGGAACUCCCAGAGCGGGGUUCAGGGCCAGGAGUCUGCUGGGACUCUUUUCAAAGCCCCUCCAGCCGGGCGUGGGGGUGCACAUCUGCAGUCCUAGCACUCUGGGAGGCUCAGGCAGGAGGAUCGCAAGUUCGAGCCCAAACUGGGCAACUUGGUGAUUUAGUGAGACCUCGUCUCAAAAUAAAAAAUAGAAAGGAGCUCCAGAGGUAGCUCAGUAGGAAUGCCCUGGGUUCAAUCCCCAGUCCCGUGGGGGGCUCCUGAGAGUACUCAGUGAAGUGUUCAUUAGCACUGGUGGAGGAAAUUACUAGAGACGGGGGUGGGGGAGCCCUGGGAGAGUUUAGGGUUACACUGCACAUCCUCAAUCGGGGCUGAGAAGUGUGCUGGUUCUCACUGUUCAAUCUAGAGAACUCGGCACUCAUGGGAGAGAGGAGCGCACACAAGAAUCUGGCCUCAGUAGCAGGGAAUAAUUAGCUCCAGGCUAAGCCCUGUUCCUAUCUUACCUGAGAAAGCUGGAGGGCAGGACCUGAAAGGGUCCAGUGUUUCCAAGCAACUGAACUGCAUCCCAGAACAAAGCUUUGUGUGUUUGCAGGAACAACAACAAAAACACACGGCAUUUGAUAAAGGUAAAAUUCAUAAUACCUGGCAUAAAAUUUUUUAAAAUUCUAAAAAUGUAAGGGAGCUGGAAAAAUGACUCAUAAUAGGGAGAAAAAUCAAUUGAAACAUACCCAGGAUUCCAGCACAGAUUUUAGAACAACCAGGCAGAGACAGUAAAAGUUAUUAUCCCAUAUGUUGAAAGUUAGACACUGGCUUUAUGAAAAAGACCCAAAUUGAACUUUGGGGAUGAAAACUACAAUAUCUGAGGUUACAGUAAUACACUGUGUGCAGCUAACAGCAGAUUGGACUUUGCAGAAGAAAAGAUUGGCAAAUCAACAUAUCAAUAGAAAGUACUCAGAAUAAAAUAGAAAUACUCUGGUCUUGGCAGUGAUUUCUUAAACAUAACAAAAGCAUAGGCAACAAAAGACAAAAUAGACAAGUGGAACUACAUCAAACUAAAACUCUUCUUCACAGCAAAGGAUACAAUCAACAAAGUGAAAGGGAAACAUACAGAAUGGGAGAAACUAUUUGCAAACCACACUUCUAAUAAAGGGUUAAUACCCAAAAUAUAUGGGGAAUUUGAACAAUUCAACCAGAAAAAUGGCUGAUUGAAAAUAUGGGUAAAGGAGUUGAAUAGACAUUUCUCCAAAGGAGACAUAAAAUGGCUAACAGAUACAGUGUGUGAAAAAGUACUCGCCAUUAUCAUCAUCAGGGUGAUGAAAAUCAAAGCCCCACACCAGUUAGGAUGGCUAUUGUCAAAGUAACAAAUCGUCACAAAUGAUGAGACGUACAGAUGAGGACCCUUGUCUACUGUGGAAUGGUACAUUGUGCAGCUACCAUGAGAAGCAGAAUGGAGGCGCCUUUAAACUUGAAAAUAGAACCACUGUAUGACCUACAGCCCCACUUCUGGGCAUAUUUCCAAAGGAAAGGAAACAAGAAUCCUGAAAAUAUAUUCCAUGUUGACUGGAAUUUUAUUCUCCACAGCCAAGACAUGGAAACAACUUAAGUACCCAAUAAUAAUUAAUCAAAUGUGAUACAUACACACAGUGAAAUAUUAUUUGGCCUUAAAAAUAAAUACCGCCAUUUGCAGCAACGUAGAUGAGUCUGAAGGACAUUUAUCUAAGUGAAUUAAGCCAGACACAGAAAGGCAAAUUUUACACGAUACUACUCCUAUUUGAUAUCUAAAAUUGGCAAACUCAUAGGAACAGAAUUGUGGCCACCAAGAAAUAGCAGAGGAAACAGGGAGGUCAGAGGGUGCGACAUCUCAGUUCAGAGCGGUUCCUGGAGCUCUGCUGCACAGCACAGCGCCUUAACAUACACCUGUGCACUUAAAGAUUUGCCAAGAGGGAGGCCUUUUACUGUGUUUUUUUCACAUGCACAUAGACAUAUAUGCACACAGCGAGAGGUAACUUGAGAUAAUGGGAUAUUGUGGCCUAGAUGGUCGCAGUAUUUUCACAGCUGUACAUUUAUCUCCAAACUCAUCAGGUUGUAUGCAUUAAACAUGUACAACGUGUUGUAUGGCAAUCAUAACUCAAUAAAGU
RNAcentral lists this long non-coding RNA (4479 nucleotides) under Heterocephalus glaber (naked mole-rat). Its description in RNAcentral is "lncRNA (ENSHGLG00000042088.1)". The record is from RNAcentral. Lineage: Eukaryota; Metazoa; Chordata; Mammalia; Rodentia; Bathyergidae.